GGGCCUGUAGCGCAGCUGGGAGCGCAUCACAAUGGCAUUGUGGGGGUCGAGGGUUCGAAUCCCUCCAGGUCCA
This 73-nucleotide transfer RNA is filed under the name Chloroflexota bacterium. RNAcentral describes it as "Chloroflexi bacterium (anaerobic digester metagenome) tRNA-Ala". It matches the Rfam family "tRNA". From Rfam's summary of the family: Transfer RNA (tRNA) molecules are approximately 80 nucleotides in length. Their secondary structure includes four short double-helical elements and three loops (D, anti-codon, and T loops). Further hydrogen bonds mediate the characteristic L-shaped molecular structure. tRNAs have two regions of fundamental functional importance: the anti-codon, which is responsible for specific mRNA codon recognition, and the 3' end, to which the tRNAs corresponding amino acid is attached (by aminoacyl-tRNA synthetases). tRNAs cope with the degeneracy of the genetic code in two manners: having more than one tRNA (with a specific anti-codon) for a particular amino acid; and 'wobble' base-pairing, i.e. permitting non-standard base-pairing at the 3rd anti-codon position. Lineage: Bacteria; Bacillati; Chloroflexota. The record is from RNAcentral.